UACGUAGGGUGCGAGCGUUACUCGGAAUUACUGGGCGUAAAGCGUGCGCAGGCGGUUUGCUAAGACAGGUGUGAAAUCCCCGGGCUUAACCUGGGAACUGCGCUUGUAACUGGCAAGCUAGAGUGUGGCAGAGGGGGGUAGAAUUCCACGUGUAGCAGUGAAAUGCGUAGAGAUGUGGAGGAACACCGAUGGCGAAGGCAGCCCCCUGGGCUAACACUGACGCUCAUGCACGGAAGCGUGGGGAGCAAACAGG
RNAcentral lists this ribosomal RNA (253 nucleotides) under uncultured bacterium. RNAcentral describes it as "partial 16S ribosomal RNA". It matches the Rfam family "Bacterial small subunit ribosomal RNA", at positions 524 to 776 of the family's 1533-position model. The record is from RNAcentral.